AAAUUCAAAUUUUAUAAAAAUAAAAUGUUAGAUUCGAUGAGACGAGUAAAAACUCGCUCCAGUCUUACCCAUAACCGACCCUAGGCUCUAAAGUAAUACGGGACACCGGGAUCCCAGACCAAAGAAAAACAUUCCCAGAUUCCGGUGCGACUCUUCCGUGUCAGCCGCCGCUUGUCACCUCCAGCUGCAUUGCUGCGCUGCAGGUCAGUUUCGAUGAAGCCCAAAUUUCACUUGGAAACUCGCCUUGGUCCCCUUUUUUGCGUGAUCUGAAUUUUGGUGGGGAGUUGAUGAUGGUGGCAGAAAGGAUUUGGGUAGCUCGAUUGGUCUCGAUAGUGGACGGCUGUUGUGGUGGGGGAACUAUUUUGGUGACUGUAGGAUACAGUGGUAACCGUCGAGUCUGAUGGUGUUUCUGGUUUGGGUUGUUCACUCAAGAAUUGUUAAUUGCCUUAAGUUUCUGGACUGUUGCUGAUGAUCCCGUGUUAAAAAUCAGUUUUUUCUUCUUUAUUUGAUCGAAUUGCUGGUGAUGGUUUUUGAGAACUUGCUACUUGUGUUUUAUGGUGUCUGUGUAUGUGACAGUAUAUAUUGAGUGUGGAGACUUGGUAGAAGGAUUUGCUGAAAAUUUGGCUGAUGGGUGGCUUUGAUCUUUUUUUUUUUGUUUGUUCAUGUCCUGCUUGACGAUUUACAAGAUUAUUUCUAGGCACUGAACUCUAAUUGUGAUAAAGUCUCAAAUAAAAAAAAAAAUUAUCACUAAAAAUGCAUUUAUCUACUUGAUGAAUGCCAGUACUUUAUUACCAUCUAUGAUCAGCUCGAUCCUAUGAAUUCAACUAGUGGAUACUAACAAAGCUAAGAUAAUAAUAAAAAAAAA
Durio zibethinus is the source of this 865-nucleotide non-coding RNA. NCBI's taxonomy places the organism in Eukaryota, Viridiplantae, Streptophyta, Magnoliopsida, Malvales, Malvaceae. The record is from RefSeq and is a predicted model, not a curated record.